AAGUAUUGCCAGGCCACACUUAUGUGAGAAACUUCAUGCUCCUUAAGUAAAGUUGAGUUCGCUCGUUGAGGUUUAGUAUAUAAGGUCAAAGGCGGGUAAUCUUCAUCAAAUCUAUCUUUCUCUGUGAAAACGGAAGAAGUGAAAGAGCCAGCGGAGUUGUGCGCUAGUUCAUAAAUCAAUUCAGUAAUGGUUUACACUUCAAACUCGCCCUACUGCUACUUACAAUACAAGCAAGCAAUAUUGUAUCUCGUCACCAAGUAGCAAUUCACAAAUCUUAAAGCAAGGGGGAAUCUCAGUAUGACUCUAUCGGCUAUCUUUCUAGGCGUCAAAGCAUUGGAAGAGCAUUUCAGAACUAGCUAACGCCUUUCAGAGACUAUACCAGACCCACCUGUUAUUGACUUGAUUAUUCCCUUAACAGCUACGCCAGUACUAGAUGAUGCCCUUAAGCGCUCCGGUAGACAAAAAGGAUUGUUCCUUAUUCUGUUGAUCCUUGGAAUACACCGUAACCUAGAAACUAUGUUCCCUUACCCGCUACACCACUACUAGAUUAUGGUCUUCGUAGAUGUUUUCAGCGCCCAGCUCAUUAUUGUAAGUAUAUGAAAUGGAUUCUCACUUUAUAGGGAAAGUCUCCUACUUCUCCCUUUGAUUCUGCAUUGACAGGGUUAUUCCAUGAGGACCAGCUACUUAGUGAACUUCCUUAUUCUUUGUUUAGGCCGGAUAAGAACUAGCUAAAGGAUGAGACGCACUUCGUAUAGUCUAGUGAGUCACCUAUAGGGUUAGAGUAGUAGUUUGUUUGGACUUAGCUCAUUCUUAGGGAUACCAGCAGCACUCUUACUUAAUAGAUGUGAUUAGCCCCCAGUAGUAAAGCCAUAGUUGGUCAAGAGAAGGUAUUGUUAGCCCCAGCUCAAUUCUGAGUAUAGUAUGCCCCAUCCUCGAUUGAUAAGUUCUCUUCAGUAUGCCCAUUACUCUUAUCCGUAGUGGUCGAUUUCUUAUACUUAAUCGUUUUUGUCUUAGACAACUUAGGUUCAUUCUUAUCGGCACCCCUCACUUUAUACCUGCAAUAUGGAGUUGUUAUACCUGCAAUACGGAGUUGCUUGCCUAUUACUUGAGAGUGGCAUUACUCUUAGGCUGCUAUUUAUUAUCUUAUUCCUCUUAGGCUGCUAUUUCUUAUUUAUGAGAAUGUAUUAACUUAUUCUCACAUACCUAGCUCAUGAUUAUGUUUCUUACCUUGAAAUCUUACCUGCCUGUUCUGUUGCUAAUACGACUAGCUCGAUUAAGCCUUUCACUCCCGGGGUCUAUCGGAGGUUUGCAAAGGGUAAUCAGCCGGCGAGUCGAUUUAGUAUAGUAGUAACCUCAAUCCCUCUUCCCUAGGCUUUGAACAAGACUUCUUCUUUGUCUUCUUAUUCUGUAUGAGUGCUCUUUCCUUCCUGCUUCCUUUCCU
Molecule: long non-coding RNA, 1441 nt
Filed under: Musa acuminata (dwarf banana)
Lineage: Eukaryota; Viridiplantae; Streptophyta; Magnoliopsida; Zingiberales; Musaceae
Description: long non-coding RNA (MACU_LNC010187)
Source: RNAcentral